UACGUAGGUGGCAAGCGUUGUCCGGAUUUAUUGGGUUUAAAGGGUGCGUAGGCGGUCCUAUAAGUCAGUGCUGAAAUAUCCCGGCUUAACCGGGAGGGUGGCAUUGAUACUGUUGGACUUGAGUAAAGUUGAGGUUGGCGGAAUUGACGGUGUAGCGGUGAAAUGCUUAGAUAUCGUCAAGAACACCGAUUGCGAAGGCAGCUAACUAAGCUUUAACUGACGCUGAGGCACGAAAGUGUGGGGAUCAAACAGG
This 253-nucleotide ribosomal RNA is filed under the name uncultured bacterium. Its description in RNAcentral is "partial 16S ribosomal RNA". It matches the Rfam family "Bacterial small subunit ribosomal RNA", at positions 524 to 776 of the family's 1533-position model. The record is from RNAcentral. RNAcentral also lists the same sequence under 1 other name.